UUAGAGUUUGAUCCUGGCUCAGGACGAACGCUGGCGGCGUGCUUAACACAUGCAAGUCGAGCGGUAAGGCCUUUCGGGGUACACGAGCGGCGAACGGGUGAGUAACACGUGGGUGAUCUGCCCUGCACUUCGGGAUAAGCCUGGGAAACUGGGUCUAAUACCGGAUAUGACCUCCUAUCGCAUGGUGGGUGGUGGAAAGAUUUAUCGGUGCAGGAUGGGCCCGCGGCCUAUCAGCUUGUUGGUGGGGUAAUGGCCUACCAAGGCGACGACGGGUAGCCGACCUGAGAGGGUGACCGGCCACACUGGGACUGAGACACGGCCCAGACUCCUACGGGAGGCAGCAGUGGGGAAUAUUGCACAAUGGGCGAAAGCCUGAUGCAGCGACGCCGCGUGAGGGAUGACGGCCUUCGGGUUGUAAACCUCUUUCAGCAGGGACGAAGCGCAAGUGACGGUACCUGCAGAAGAAGCACCGGCUAACUACGUGCCAGCAGCCGCGGUAAUAC
RNAcentral lists this ribosomal RNA (503 nucleotides) under uncultured Rhodococcus sp. RNAcentral's name for it is "bacterial SSU rRNA". It matches the Rfam family "Bacterial small subunit ribosomal RNA", at positions 1 to 526 of the family's 1533-position model. The record is from RNAcentral. Lineage: Bacteria; Bacillati; Actinomycetota; Actinomycetes; Mycobacteriales; Nocardiaceae.